RNA transcript from Diceros bicornis minor, 8133 nucleotides. RefSeq lists it as uncharacterized. The record is from RefSeq and is a predicted model, not a curated record. Lineage: Eukaryota; Metazoa; Chordata; Mammalia; Perissodactyla; Rhinocerotidae. The transcript is spliced from 8 exons.
UCGAUAGGGGCUAACGGAGCCCCAGUUGGCAUCUGGAAAAUCGGCUCGCCUUCCCUCCCGCGAGAGCCACCUGUGCGCUUAUCUGUGUUGCAGACCCAGACAGCGUCUCCUCGCUGAGGCUGAAGCCCAAGUCUAGGACAAAGCUCUGCGGGCCCACCCGCCUGGAGCCCCGCCCUCGCCGCUGAAGUCACUUCCCAGCGCCCCAUGCGCCCUGGAGCACAUGAGCCAUUUUGGCUGCAGCAACGGUCCGCAGCGGUGCACAGCGCCAGGGAGACAGCUCCCAUGGUGAAGCAGUUCUAGCUAGAGGAAUAGGGCAGUGAGCCUUCACCUUCUCUUUUUUCCUGACUGGCAAACUGAGGAUGGACGGCGCAUGGCUUCCUUGUCAUGCUUGUGCUAAAGGGCUCCAAGAAGGCCCAUGUUGGGCGGUAACAAUUUGGCGACCCAGAUGGGAUGACAAGUCCUGCUCGUGGCCAGCCGACCUUGGAUGGGCAACCUGUUGGGACACAAUUGGAAACAUUGGUUAUAUUACCAAAGCUUUGACUGGAAUGUGACAAGAUAGCUUCUGAGAGACAAAGAUUGGACUUUAUGGAAUAAAACCACAUGGAAGUAUUGGCCUGGUACCUUAUGUUCAGUGUUCGAAGCAGCAUUUACUGGAUAACCAUCAGAUGGAAGAUCUGUCCCAGGAAGGAGCCACCAUGUCAAAUUCUUUAGGCAGUUAGUGGGGGAGGUCAAAUGUCCUUCAGAGAAAACAAUCAAGGCAUCAGAUGGAAGAUCUGUUCCAGGAAGGAGUUACCAAGUCAAAUUCUUUAGGCAGUUAGUGGGGGAGGUCAAGUGUCCCUCAGAGAAAACAAUCAAGGCCUGAUUCCUGAGUGGACAGUGGAUAUUUGGCAGAAUCAUGUGUCACAUCAGCCAAUUCACUCAGGACUGCUCCCUCCACAUCUCAACUCUAACACUCAUGGCAGUUGCCAUGGACUGACACCAGCCAGCAGUUCCCCUAUUAAGAUGUAGCUCAAGGUGUGGAUAGAUAUGUAUAUUCAAUUUCCUGCUGAACUUCACUGGCACCACCUUGGCAAAGUGGGACAUUGACUUACACUGCCUUUCUACAGGUGAUAAAUGGAGGCUCAACUCUCCCACUUAGCCCCACUGGCAUUACUCAGGAGGGAGAAUCAGAACACCUCUUGGUUCUGCCUGGUGGGUGAUGGAAGAUUAGCUUCUUUCUUGAUCUUGUUGACACUACUCAGCAAGGGACUCUGAUCAUUGCUAUAUACUUCUGCUGUUAAGGGGAUGAAAAAUAAUCUUCUCAGUCAGCCACUCCAAUGUGAACUAGAAGAGGAAUCAGAAGGUGAGGAUUGGAGGAAGUUCCGGUUCAAGAUGGUGAUGUAGAAGGAUCCUGAACUCACCUCGUCCCAUUGAUACACUGAAUCUGUGGCUACAUAUGGAACAAUUUCUUCUGAAAGAAACCUAAAAACUAGCUGAAUGUCUCAUACACAUUGGGCGAAUGGGAAUAAACCCACGUUGAAAUGGAUAGAAAAGGCGAGACACAAUCUUGCCAUAAACCUCACCCUUAGUGUGAUGACUCACAAUCAGGAGGGAAUUCACAACCCCAAGCUUCUCCCUGAGGAGUGAAAGGUUUGAACCACACAUCUGGCCACACAAAGUUUAAGACCUGCACCUAAAAGAUAGGCCCUCAAAACAUCUAGCUUUGAAUGCUAAUGGUGCUUGCAUUCACAAGACUCAAAAAGGUAUAGUGAUUUUGGAAACAGUUCUUAAAGGGCUCGUGUGGACUCACUCAUGCCAGGGACCAGUGCAGAGGCAGCUGACUGAAAAGUGCCCAGUCUUCCUGUUAAAGAGGCCUAUUUGCUUAUCUUAAAGCUGUAGCUUGAGGGACAGGCAUCUAAUUUAACACACAACAAAGGAAAUAGUGAAAUACUCUUCAAAGACAGAGGCCAACAGUCACCAUCUUUAUGUUCUCACUCUGCCUUGAUCCAGGAGGCCAGGAUAUCCUAGAAAGGAGCUUAUACACUCACUUGGCACCCUGAUUUUAGCAGCUGCCACCCAGGACACACUUCUUGAUUGUGUGGCUCUGGGGGCAAGUGGGGCUUAUGCUUGCAGGUCCCAUAGUACUGUAACAAACAGAGAAAGAGUUCUUAACCAGCUAUACCCCCAAGGCACAACAGAGAGGCAACUGACUGAAACACCCAAUCCUUCUGUGAAAAAGGCCUAUUAGCUUAUCUUCAUAGCUGCAGCCUCAGGGGCAGGCUUCUAAUUAAACACACUUCUAGGGGCUGACUACAAUCCUCUUCAGAGACUCGGUAGGCUGGUAGGCACCAUAUUUGUGCUCUCCCUCUGUCCUACCCCACAGCACUGGUAUCUCCAAGAAAGGAGCUUGUGUACACAUCUGGUGCCCCAGCUUUUGUGGCUGCCACCCAGAGGACACAUCCCUUGAUAUCCUGACUCUGGUGGCCAACAGGACUUGUGAUCAUGGAUUCAAUAGGACAGUAGCAAACAAAGAAACAGUUCUUAACUGACUAUCACUUCAGGACUCAGUGCAGAGGGAGCAUACAGAAACACCAUCUCCAACUCUUACCUUGAAAGAAGUAUAUUUGCAUACUUUAAAAACUGCUGCCUGAAGGUACAGCUUUCAAUCAUCCUGAAUCAAGAUUCUAAGAUCCUCCACUUGGGACACUGAUGGGUCUUGGCACACCCUCAACUACUGGGAGUCACUAAGAAUAAAGUAGGCUCUUUGAAAAUCACAAAGAUUUGAGAGACAACAAAGAACUAGGGCAAGAUUGAAUGAUAAUGUUCAUCACCUACAUGAGGCCACUCCUUCAAGACUGGGAGAUGUGGCUCUUUUAUCUAAUGCAUAGAAACCAACACAGAGAGUAAAGGAAAAUGAAGAAACAAAUGAAUAUGUUUCAAACAAUAGAAUAACAUAGAAACCUCAGAAAAAAACUUUAAUGAAGUGGAAAUAAGUAAUUUACCUGAUAAAGAGUUGAAAGUAAUAGUCAUAAAGAUGCUCAGCAAACUCAGGAGAAGAAUGGAUAAACAAAGUGAGAAUUUCAACAAAGAGAUAGAAAAUAUAAGAAAGUACCAAGUAGAAGCCACAUAGCGGAAGAAUGCAAUAACUGCACUUAAAUAUACAAUAUAGGAAUUCAACAGCAGACUAAAUGAAGCAGAAUAAAGGACCAGUGAACUCAAAAACAGAGCAGUAGAACUCAUCUAAUCAGAGCAGCAAAAAGAAUGAAAUAGAGUAAAGAGAGCUUAUGAAGCUUAUGUGAAAACAUCAAGCAGGCCAACAUUCACACUAUGAAUCCCAGAAUGAGAAGAGAGAAAAAGGAGAAAAAACUCAUUUGAAGAAAUAAUGGCUGGAAACUUCCCUAAAAGGAGAAGGAAACAAUCAUCCAGAUCCAGGAAGUCCAGAGAGCUCCAAAUAUUAAACCCAAAGAGACUCACACCAAGACAUAUUAUAAUUAAAAUGUGAAAAGUUAAAAGAUAAGGAAAUAAUCUUAAAAGCAGCAAGAGACAAACAACUUGUUAUAUACAAGGUAACUCUCAUAAGACUAUCAGCAAAUUUUUCAGCAGAAACUUUGCAGGCCAGAAGAGAGAGGCACCGUAUAUUCAAAGUGAUGAAAAAAAGCCUGAUAACUAAGAAUACUCUACCCAGCAAUGUUGUCCUUCACAAUUGAUGGAAAGAUAAAAACUUUUCUAGACAAGCACCACUAGAUUGACCUUACAAGAAAUGUGAAAGGGGACUCUUUAAGGUGAGAUGAAAGGGCACUAAUUAAUAACAGGAAAAUAUAUGAAAUCAUAAAUCUCAUGGGUAAAAGUAAAUAUUAGGUAAAAUUCAAAAUAAUCUACUUUGUAAAGCUGGUGGCUUGAUCACUUAAAAAGCUAGUAUGAAGGUUAAAAGGCAAAUUAGUAAAAAUUAUUGUAGUUAUAACUACAAUAAUUUGUGGAUACAUAAGAUAAAAAGAAGUAAAUUGUGACAUAAAUAACAUAAAACAUUGAAGGGUGUGUAAAUAUGUAGUGCUUUAGAAUGCAUUUAAACUUAAGUUGUUAUCAAUUUAAAAUAGACUGUUAUAAAUAUAAGUUGUUUUAUGUAAGACUCAUGGUAAUCACACAGCAAAAUCUAUAGUAGAUACACAAAAGACAAAAGGAAAGUAAUGUAAGCAUCUCAAUACAGAAAAAUCAUCAAAUCACAAAGGAAGCGAGGAAGAGAAGAAGAAAUGAACAAAGGAAAUACAAACAUCAGAAAAAAAAUAACCAAAUGGCAAUAAGUACAUACCUAUCAAUAAUUAUUUUAAAUGAAAAUGGACGAGAUUCUCCAAUCAAAAGACUUAGAGUGGCUGAAUGAAUAAAAAAAAAAAGACCCAUCUAUAUGCUCCCUGUAAGAGAAUCACUUCAGAUGUAAAGACAUGCACAAACUGAAAAUGAAGGGAUGGAGAAUGAUACUCUAAUUUCAUGCAAAUGGAAACUAAAAGAAAGCUGUGGUAGUUAGACAAAAUAGACUUUAAAACAAAGACAGUCAUAAGAGACAAAGAAGGUCAUUACAUAAUGAUACAGGGGUCAAUCCAACAAGAGGAUAUAACAUUUAUAAAUAUUUAUGCACCCAACAUAGGAGCACCUAAAUAUAGGAAGCAAAUAUUAAUAGAAAUAAAAAUGAGAAAAAGAUAGCAAUACAGUAAUAGUAUGGGACUUUAACACCCUACUUACUUCAAUGAAUAGAUCAUCUAGACAGGAAAUCAAUAAGGAAACAUUUACCUUAAAUGUCAGGUGACACCCGAUGGACUUAAUAGAUAUAUAUAGAACAUUCCAUCCAAAAACUGCAUAAUACACAUUUUUUUUCAAGUGCACAUAAAAAACUCCCCAGGAUAGAUCACAUUUUAGGCCACAAAAAAAGUUUCAAUAAAUUCAAGAAGAUUGAAAUCAUAUCAAACAUCUUUUCCAACAACAGUGGUAUGAAACUAGAAAUCAACUACAAGAAGAAAAUUGAAAGAACAAAAACAGAUGGAGACUAAACAACAUGCUACUAAACAACCAAUGGGUCAAUGAAGAAAUCAAAGAGAAAAUUAAAAAAAUACCUUGAAACAAAUGGAACUAGAAACACAACUUUCCAAAAGCUAUGGACACAGCAAAAGCAGUUCUAAGAGGGAAGUUUGUAGAGAUACAUGCCUACCUCAAGAAACAAGAAAAAUCUCAAAUAAACAACCUAACUUUAAACUUCAAGAAACUAGAAAAAGAAGAACAAAAGAAGCCAAAAGUUAGUAUAAGUUAGGGAAUAACAGAGAUUAGAGUGGAAAUAAAUCAUAUACAGUCUAAAAAGAUAAUAGAACUGAUCAAUGAAACUAAGAACUAGUUCUGUAAAAAGAUAAUCAAAAUUGACAAACCUUCAACUAGUCUCACCAAGAAAAAAAAGAGGGAUGAUUCAAAUAAAUAAAAUCAGAAAUGAAAGAGGAGAUGUUACAACUGAUACCACAGAAAUAAAAAGUAUUGUAGGAGGCUACUAUGAACAAUUAUAUGCCAAAAAAUUGGAAAACCUAGAAGAAAUGGAUAAAUUCUAGGAAUACACAGCCUUCCAAUACUGAAUCAUGAAGAAAUAGAAAAUCUGAAUAGAUCAAUUAUUAGUAAGGAGGUUGAAUCAGUAAUUAAAAACCUCCCAACAAACAAAAGUCCAAGAACAUAUGGCUUCACAGGUAAAUUCUACCAAAUAUUCAAAGAAGAAUUAGUAUCAAUCCUUCCCAAACUCUUCAAUAAUUUGAAGAGAAAAAAAUACGUCCAAGAUUAUUUUAUGAGGCCAGGAUUACCCUGAUGCCAAAACUAGAUAAAGACACAAAAAUAAAUGAAAAUUAUAGGUGAAUAUCACUGAUGAACAUGGACACAAAAAUCCUCAACAAAAUAUUAACAAAACAAAUUCAACAAUACAUUAAAAGCAUCAUACACCAUGAUUAAGUGGGAUUUUUUCUGGGGAUUCAAGGAUGGUUCAACAUCCACAAAUCAAUCAAUGAAAUACACCCCAUUAACAAAAUGAAGGAUAAAAAUCAUAUGGUCAUCUCAAUAGCUGCAGAAACAUCAUUUGACAGAAUUGAUCAUCCAUUUAUUAUAAAAACUUUCAACAAAGUGGGUAUAGAAGGAACGUACCUCAACGUAAUAAAGACCACAUAUGACAAACCCACAGAUAACAUCAUGCUCAAUGGCGAAAGCUGCAAGUUUUCCUCUAAUAUCAGGAACAAGACAAGAUUGACAACUCUUGCCACUUUAUUCAACAUAGUAUUGGAAGUCCUAAGAGCAAUUAGGCAAGAAAAGGAAAAAAGACAUCCAAAUCAGAAAGAAAGAAGUAAAACUGUCACUAUUUGCAGAUGUCAUGAUAUUACACAUAGAAAAACCUAAAGACUCCACCAAAAAACUGUUAGAACUAACAAAUGAAUUCAGUAAAGUUGCAGGAUACAGAAUCAAUAUACAAAAAUUUGUUGCAUUUCCAUACACUAAUAACAAGCUAUCAGAAAGAGAAAGUAAGAAAGCAAUCCUGUUUUCACAUGUAUCAAAAAGAAAGAAAUACCUAGAAAUAAAUUUAACCAAGGAGAUGAAAGACCCAUAUACUGAAAACUAUAAAACAUUGAUGAUAGAAAUUGAAGAAGACACACAUAAAGGGGAAGAUAUUCCGUGCUCAUGAAGUGGAAGAAUUAAUAUAGUUAAAAUGUCUGUACUACCCAAAGCAAUCUACAGAUUCAAUGCAAUCCCCACAAAAAUUCCAUUGGCAAUUUUCACAGAACUAGAACAAAUAAUUCUAAAAUUUUAUGGAAUCACAAAACACCCUUAAUAGCCAAAGCAAUCUUAAGAAAGAUGAAAAAAGCUAGAGGCAUAACAUUCUCUGAUUUCAAACUAUACUACAAAGCUAUAGUAACUAAAAUGGUAUGGUAUUGGCACUAAAACAGACACAGAAAUCAAUGGAAGAGAAUAUACCCAUGCAUAUAUGAUCAAUAAAUUUACAACAAAGGAGGCAAGAAUAUACAUUGUGGUAAGGACAGUCUCUUCAACAAGUGGAAUUGGGAAAACUGGACAGCUACAUGCAAAAGAAUGAAGCUGUGCCAAUCUCUUACACCAUAUGCAAAAAUAAAUUCAAAGUGGAUUAAGACCUUGAACCAUAAAACUCCUAGAAGAAAACAAAGACAGUGAGGUUCUUGACCUAAAUCAUGGCAAUGCUUUUUUGGACCAGUCUCCUCAGGCUAGGGCAACAAAAGCAAAAAUAAACAAGUGAGACUACAUAAAAAUAAAAAGCUUCUGCACAGCAAAAGAAACCAUCAACAAAAUAAAAAGGCAACCUACUGAAUGGGAGACAAUACUUGCAAAUCAUAUAUCUGAUAAGGGGUUAAUAUCUACAAUAUAUGAAAAACACAUACAACUCUAUAGCAAAGAAGCAAAUAAUCCAAUUGAAAAAUGGGCAGAAAAUCUGAAUAGACAUUUUUCCAAAGAAGACAUACACAUGGCCAACAGGUACAUGAGGAGCUGCUCAACAUUACUAAUCAUCAGGGAAAUACAAAUCAAAACCACAAUGAGAUAUCACCUCACACCUGUUAGGAUGGCUACUAUCAAAAAGGCAAGAAAUAACAAGUGUUGGUGAGGAUGCGGAUACAAAGGGAACCCUUGAGCACUGUUGGUUGGUAGGUAAAUUGGUGCUGCCACUAUGGAAAGCAGUAUGGAGUUUCCUCAAAAAAUAAAAAUAGAACUACCCAUAAUCCAGCAAUUUCACUUCUGGGUUUUAUCCAAAGAAAAUAAAACCACUAACUUGAAAAGAUAUAUGAACCCCCUUGUUCAGUGCAGCAUUAUUUACCAUAGCUCAAAUAUGAAAACAACCUAAGUGUCCAUAAAUGGAGGCAUGGAUAAAGAAAAUGUGGAAUAUAUACAUAAUGGAAUAUUAUUCAGCCAUAAAAAACAAUUAAAUCUUACCACUUGUGAUAACAUGGAUGGACCUUGAGGGCAUUAUGCUAAGUGAAAUCAGUCAGACAGAGAAAGACAAAUAUUAUAUGAUCUCACUUAUAUGUGGAAUCUAAAAAAAAAACAACCUUAUAGAUACAGAGAACAGAUUGAUGGUGCCAGUGUUGGAGGGUUGGGAGUGGGCAAAAUGGGUGACGGGGG